Molecule: unclassified non-coding RNA, 255 nt
Filed under: Hevea brasiliensis (rubber tree)
Lineage: Eukaryota; Viridiplantae; Streptophyta; Magnoliopsida; Malpighiales; Euphorbiaceae
Source: RNAcentral
UUUGGAACAAGUUUGCAUGUAGCACAAAUAACACAUGGCUUAGAAUGAUGUGCUUGGAAUAAAGACUAUUUUAACUCAUUGAGAAUAUAUGAUGAUGCGAGAGGUGUUCGUGAUAGAAAAGAGUCUUUUGGUGGUGCAUGUGCAAGCAUUAUUAAUGAACUCAAACUGAUAGUCUUAUAAAUUUCUUCAUCCACCACCUCCAUUCCUAAUUUGUCUUCAUGUAAGCACCAUUCUAAUGACCCACCAGUUACAAAG